This 651-nucleotide long non-coding RNA is filed under the name Fukomys damarensis (Damara mole-rat). RNAcentral's name for it is "lncRNA (ENSFDAG00000032003.1)". Lineage: Eukaryota; Metazoa; Chordata; Mammalia; Rodentia; Bathyergidae. The record is from RNAcentral.
AACAUUUCAGAGAUACAAAAUGAGGAGGAGAAGCUGCUUCCAGAAGCUAGAUAUUUGUCCCUUUGGUAACCUGAAUGCCACAUGAAAGCAGUCCUCCAGGUCUCCCCUGGCUGUUCCUGUCACCAUGCCUUUCCUCUCAGUGUUCUUCCUCUGGUUUCUCCACGUGAAUCUUACCAGCCUGACCAUGCAUGACUUUGGUGGAUGCGUCAACAGAUCUAUUGACCACUGGUGUCUUUGGAGGCAAGAGAAAGACAAGUCACCACAAGUUAAGAACACGCACACAUAAGAGUGGAGGGUGACCAGGAUAUGAUCUACUGUAGCGGAAACAUUUCCUAUCAUCAUCGUCCAACAGAGUGAGUGGAUUACAAUAGAAAUUCAACAAAUAUUUGGGAAGAGAGAAAAGCUGCAGUGAGUGGAGAGGAAAUGACUAAUUAGUGCAUAUCUAAUAAAUGUCGGGUACAUAGCAAUGCUUUCUCGUGUAUUAUCUCAUUUAUUACUCACAUCCUUUCACGUGUUCAUUCUUUUAACAAAUAUUUAUUGAGUCCUAGUAUGUGCCAGAUACUGCUCUAAAUGUUAAGGAUACAGUUAAUACUAAAUGAAAGGAGACAGACAACAAACCGAAACAUCAGCAAAUAAGAUUGUCAAAUAAAU